Molecule: ribosomal RNA, 448 nt
Filed under: Cladosporium cladosporioides
Lineage: Eukaryota; Fungi; Ascomycota; Dothideomycetes; Cladosporiales; Cladosporiaceae
Description: eukaryotic LSU rRNA
Rfam family: 5.8S ribosomal RNA (bases 130-283)
Source: RNAcentral
UGUUCAUAACCCUUUGUUGUCCGACUCUGUUGCCUCCGGGUCGACCCUGCCUUCGGGCGGGGGCUCCGGGUGGACACUUCAAACUCUUGCGUAACUUUGCAGUCUGAGUAAACUUAAUUAAUAAAUUAAAACUUUUAACAACGGAUCUCUUGGUUCUGGCAUCGAUGAAGAACGCAGCGAAAUGCGAUAAGUAAUGUGAAUUGCAGAAUUCAGUGAAUCAUCGAAUCUUUGAACGCACAUUGCGCCCCCUGGUAUUCCGGGGGGCAUGCCUGUUCGAGCGUCAUUUCACCACUCAAGCCUCGCUUGGUAUUGGGCAACGCGGUCCGCCGCGUGCCUCAAAUCGACCGGCUGGGUCUUCUGUCCCCUAAGCGUUGUGGAAACUAUUCGCUAAAGGGUGUUCGGGAGGCUACGCCGUAAAACAACCCCAUUUCUAAGGUUGACCUCGGAU